Molecule: non-coding RNA, 344 nt
Organism: Odocoileus virginianus texanus
Lineage: Eukaryota; Metazoa; Chordata; Mammalia; Artiodactyla; Cervidae
Source: RefSeq, a predicted model, not a curated record
GUUUCUGGCAUCUAUAGCUCCUGGAUCAGAGUGCCUCUGUUUUAGUCCUGGCUUUAUCCCUUCUUGUCUUUGGACCUUGGGCAGAGUAUUUAAUCUCACUGUGCCUCAGUUUCCUCGUCUGUGAAAUUAGGGUCAUCAUUUUACGUACCAGCUGUUUGGAAGAGUCACCAGAUUCACUGAAGAGCACUCUUCAGGCUUCACUCACCCUGGUCUGGGAAUCCUUCAUCUCUGAGAUUAGAACCAAAAGCACCCUCCUUGGUGGUCACAUCUGAAGAGGACAGCGCUGUAAUUGGACUAAGCAGACAUCACUCUUAGCCAGCCCCCAGCCAUCUGGUAUGUACUCU